GACGAACGCUGGCGGCGUGCUUAACACAUGCAAGUCGAACGGACGAUGAAGAGCUUGCUUUUCAGAGUUAGUGGCGGACGGGUGAGUAGCGCGUGGGCAACCUGCCUCAUACAGGGGGAUAGCAGCUGGAAACGGCUGAUAAAACCGCAUAAGCGCACAGCAUCGCAUGAUGCAGUGUGAAAAACUCCGGUGGUAUGAGAUGGACCCGCGUCUGAUUAGCUAGUUGGUGAGGUAACGGCCCACCAAGGCGACGAUCAGUAGCCGGCCUGAGAGGGUGACCGGCCACAUUGGGACUGAGACACGGCCCAAACUCCUACGGGAGGCAGCAGUGGGGAAUAUUGCACAAUGGGGGAAACCCUGAUGCAGCGACGCCGCGUGAAGGAAGAAGUAUCUCGGUAUGUAAACUUCUAUCAGCAGGGAAGAUAAUGACGGUACCUGACUAAGAAGCCCCGGCUAACUACGUGCCAGCAGCCGCGGUAAUACGUAGGGGGCAAGCGUUAUCCGGAUUUACUGGGUGUAAAGGGAGCGUAGGCGGCGGAGCAAGUCAGAAGUGAAAGCCCGGGGCUCAACCCCGGGACGGCUUUUGAAACUGCCCUGCUUGAUUUCAGGAGAGGUAAGCGGAAUUCCUAGUGUAGCGGUGAAAUGCGUAGAUAUUAGUAGGAACACCAGUGGCGAAGGCGGCUUACUGGACUGACAAUGACGCUGAGGCUCGAAAGCGUGGGGAGCAAACAGG
Molecule: ribosomal RNA, 733 nt
Filed under: uncultured Lachnospiraceae bacterium
Lineage: Bacteria; Bacillati; Bacillota; Clostridia; Lachnospirales; Lachnospiraceae
Description: bacterial SSU rRNA
Rfam family: Bacterial small subunit ribosomal RNA
Source: RNAcentral